CGCACACGCGGUCGCGUUUAUAUGUCUUGGCCGCGGGCCCCGCCAACCGAUCGCGCCCGGGGAGCGCAAGGAGGGCUCUUGCCGCUCCCUGCAAGUCGCUUCUUGCGGCUCUUAUUUGCGGAAGGCAGAAAGCGAAAGGUGUCGGGUCCCUCCCCGCAGAGUACACGCGGGUCCCUGCGCGGCUGCGGGGCUGACAGGAACCUCGACAGCCGGGGCAGGGUGGCGACACGGGGGAUGACAAACCGGGGAGCUUUCCUGCUCUUUCCCCUGGAGGGCUUCGGCUUAUUUCACACGGUUCCUGGAGUAGAAUAGGUGGCACUGACAUUCCCCUCUCCUUCCCCUCUCCUGCCUUCAGGCAGAGCCUCCCCGAGCAGCAGAGAGGCAGCGUCAGCUGGCCCGAGAGCAAGAGAUGUCGCUGUGACAAACCGGUGUCCCGAGCUGUGACAAACCGGUGUCCCGGGCUGUGACAAACCGGUGCCCCGGGCUGUGACAAACCGGUGUCCCGGGCUGUGACAAACCGGCGUCCCGGGGUGUGACAAACCGGUGUCCCGGGCUGUGACAAACCGGUGUCCCGGGCUGCUGAGGCACGGGUACAGCGGCAGGAUUUCCCACCGGUUUAUAGCGGACUCCUCGGUCCUGUCCCGCCAGCGGGGCACACCGGCCCCGUUUGACCCCCGAGCCUUUCCAGCAGACGAGGCUCCCACCGGCAGCAGCAGGAGCCGGGCCCACCUGAGCAGGAACCUCCCCGGCCGUGCCAGGAGCAUCUGGGGCUGCCCAAAUCCUCCCUGGGAGCAGCUGCACGCUCACAGCCCUCGGACUCGCUCCUGCCUUUCUGGCACCCGAAUGUGCUCUGUCCCGACAAUUUUAAACGCGACGUCGAUUUUCGUAACCAAGCGUGAGCCCGGGGGCCUGGCAGCUCCCGGGGAAGCCGGCCUCUCCCGUCGGGGCACCCAGGGCUUCGGUGGCCCAGGAGCGGAUUUCUCCUUCCCCUGCCCGCCUACGGGUCCCUGCUCCCCUACCCGGGACAGUCUAAUUGCGGAAAAAGGCAGUCGAAGAUGUAGAAACGUAUUUUAACCGAGAAAUAAAUUCGCUCUUCGAGGAACUAUUAUAUAUAUAUAUAUAAAUUAUAUAUUUCUAUAUGUCCCAGUUAGAACACGUUUCUGCAUCUUCGCCUAGAGCCAUAUAACAAAUCUCUUAUCUCCCGUCGUGUGCCCCAGAAGCCGCGCUGGGUGAUUUCGGUCCCAGAAAGGAGGCCCGUUUAUUCCCGCACGCCGCCCCCGGGCACAAACGAAACGGGGAAGGGAUGAGGACCAGAGGAGAGCCCCUCUCCAGGGUUCCCCUCCCCGGGCAGCCCCCGGCCGCUCCCCUGCGGUUCGAUCCGAGCAGGGCGACGCAGCAGCCGGAGCCAGCUGUGCCUCGCCGUCGGGGCCGGGGCUGCCGGGCUCCCCAGGGCCGGGGAGAGCUUCUUUCUGCCGGCCACCCAUGCUGCUCCCGGCGCUCCCCUCGCAGGCAUUUCCGCGGCGAGGGCCGCUGCAGGUGUAGCAGCACGGCCGCGUGUGUCAUCACCUCCCCAAAUGGCACAUUCCUCCCUUCUCGCUCCUAAACCGGCCGCGGGGCUCCUUGGCGGGGCUCGCUCGCUCCAAAGAACAUUUGACAUCCGAGGGUCUUGUUUGGGUUUUUUUGACAGCCCCACCAAGGGCGAUUUGGGAUGAACACCGGGGCAGAAGCUCAGGCAGCGCUGGGAGCGGCGGUCGGGCCGAGCAGCAAAGGUACUACCGGUCUUUAAGAUCGUGGAGUAUUUUUCCCCAUAACAAAGCCAGGAAAAUUCGGGUUCGUGUUAAACGCGGCGUGCGCGGAUCUGUCUCCCACCACGGCGUAUGAGAGUUAACGAAAUGUACUGCGGGAAAUAAAAUAUUCUGGCCUCAA
Non-coding RNA from Cyanistes caeruleus (blue tit), 1926 nucleotides. The record is from RefSeq and is a predicted model, not a curated record. Lineage: Eukaryota; Metazoa; Chordata; Aves; Passeriformes; Paridae.